Molecule: ribosomal RNA, 484 nt
Filed under: uncultured bacterium
Lineage: Bacteria
Description: partial 16S ribosomal RNA
Rfam family: Bacterial small subunit ribosomal RNA
Source: RNAcentral
AUUGAACGCUGGCGGCAGGCCUAACACAUGCAAGUCGAGCGGAUGAAGGGAGCUUGCUCCUGGAUUCAGCGGCGGACGGGUGAGUAAUGCCUAGGAAUCUGCCUGGUAGUGGGGGAUAACGUCCGGAAAUGGGCGCUAAUACCGCAUACGUCCUGAGGGAGAAAGUGGGGGAUCUUCGGACCUCACGCUAUCAGAUGAGCCUAGGUCGGAUUAGCUAGUUGGUGGGGUAAAGGCCUACCAAGGCGACGAUCCGUAACUGGUCUGAGAGGAUGAUCAGUCAAACUGGAAAUGAGACACGGUCCAGACUCCUAAGGGAGGCAGCAGUGGGGAAUAUUGGACAAUGGGCGAAAGCCUGAUCCAGCCAUGCCGCGUGUGUGAAGAAGGUCUUCGGGUUGUAAAGCACUUUAAGUUGGGAGGAAGGGCAGUAAGUUAAUACCUUGCUGUUUUGACGUUACCAACAGAAUAAGCACCGGCUAACUUCGUG